UGUCCUAUGGUGUAAUGGCUAGCACUAGAGUUUUUGGUUCUCUCAGUCGUGGUUCGAGUCCGCGUAGGACAA
This 72-nucleotide transfer RNA is filed under the name Prevotella dentalis DSM 3688. It matches the Rfam family "tRNA". Rfam says of the family: Transfer RNA (tRNA) molecules are approximately 80 nucleotides in length. Their secondary structure includes four short double-helical elements and three loops (D, anti-codon, and T loops). Further hydrogen bonds mediate the characteristic L-shaped molecular structure. tRNAs have two regions of fundamental functional importance: the anti-codon, which is responsible for specific mRNA codon recognition, and the 3' end, to which the tRNAs corresponding amino acid is attached (by aminoacyl-tRNA synthetases). tRNAs cope with the degeneracy of the genetic code in two manners: having more than one tRNA (with a specific anti-codon) for a particular amino acid; and 'wobble' base-pairing, i.e. permitting non-standard base-pairing at the 3rd anti-codon position. The record is from Rfam by way of RNAcentral. Lineage: Bacteria; Pseudomonadati; Bacteroidota; Bacteroidia; Bacteroidales; Prevotellaceae.